RNAcentral lists this small nuclear RNA (107 nucleotides) under Notamacropus eugenii (tammar wallaby). The record is from RNAcentral. Lineage: Eukaryota; Metazoa; Chordata; Mammalia; Diprotodontia; Macropodidae.
GUGUUCACUUCGGCCACACAUAUACUAAAAUUGGAAUGGUACAGAGAAUAUUAGCAUGGACCCUGUACAAGGAAGACACACAAAUUCAUGAACUGUUUCAAGAUUUU